CAGCCCUCCCCCGCCCCAAUUCACUCUCACUAUCUGCCGCAACCCGUGGCAUAGCUCCUUAUCGUUGCAUACUGCACGGUAGACUUGCAAAAGUCGCUUAUAGAACUGACUGUAUACCCACAACCCUGAGGCUCACCUGUUGACAGACGGCACAGGUGGGACAAGCAAAAAGAGGAACACCGGUGAAAGUACUGGAAGGAUACGGUACAUAUGAUUAACUCGCUCCUACUGAAUUACCCCGAGCUGCAUGUCAGUGGUCGAGCCAGUCUAUGUUCAGUGAGAUCAGAACAAGUUGCAAUGACACUUACAUCCUGGAUGCCCUGCUGAGUCGUCUGCUACGGUCUAUUUUGAGGACUGCAGCAGAAGCGAGAUCGUCUUCCGCCGGGGCUUGCUUUCUAACCUGUGUAAUUGUCUGUGUGGUGUUGUAAUGGUGCACGCCUCAGGACGACAGGGGGGGGGGACCGCUGCAGGAACAAGUGGCUGAACACAUGCAUAGGGGCAGCAAUGUAUUCACCACCUGAACAUACAAGUCGCUACUGACGCUCAGCGUUCUAUCUCCUAUAUUCUCCUCGUAUCUGCAGCGCCAUCGUACACAAUUACGCAGCGUCAAUAUUUAGAUAGGUAGAGAGCGUUGUGCAUCAACUCUCCCUGCAGUGAAUGUAGAUAGGUAGAGAAGGUUGUGCAGCAGCUCUACCUGCAGUGAAGGUAGACAGACACAGAGUGUUGUGCAUCAACUCUAUCUGCAGUGAAGGUAGAUAGGUAGAUAAUGUUGUACAGCACUUCAAUCUGCAGUGAAGGUAGAUAUGUAGAGAAUGUUGUGCAUCAACUCUGUCUGCAGUGAAAGUAGCUAGGUAGAGAAUGUUGUACAGCACUUUAAUCUGCAGGGAAGGUAGAUAUAUUUCAAGUGUUGGCAUUUUGCUGGACUGCUGCAAUUCCUGUUCAUUGUUAUGUUAACGACCUAAUAACUGUGCGUUAUAAAUGCGACAUGCGUUGCAGAUUUGAUUUC
Haliotis rubra (blacklip abalone) is the source of this 1006-nucleotide long non-coding RNA. RefSeq lists it as uncharacterized. NCBI's taxonomy places the organism in Eukaryota, Metazoa, Mollusca, Gastropoda, Lepetellida, Haliotidae. The transcript is spliced from 2 exons. The record is from RefSeq and is a predicted model, not a curated record.